This is a long non-coding RNA of Nannospalax galili (Upper Galilee mountains blind mole rat), 1045 nucleotides long. RefSeq lists it as uncharacterized. NCBI's taxonomy places the organism in Eukaryota, Metazoa, Chordata, Mammalia, Rodentia, Spalacidae. The record is from RefSeq and is a predicted model, not a curated record. The transcript has 3 exons.
UGUUGAGUUAGUGCCCCUCAAACAGAAUAGAUACAAUGCAGCCAACAGGGUCUGUGAACUGGACUCUGUCUGUGGUUUAGAAGCUCUACUUUGACCCUGCUCACAGAGCAAGUCCUUCUGUGAUCCUCCUAACAGAGCAAGACCAGCCUUCUAGAUCCUUCUCCAAGCCACAGAGGCCUGCUCAGAUGCUCAAGCCUGCAUUCCAGCCCUGCACUGAUCGCUGCCCAAGUCAGGCCUCCCUAAGAUGAAUGACAACUCUGCUCCAGUGGGCAUCCUCUUUUUUUAAUGAAAAAAUUUUUAAUCCUUUUGCAGCCACCAUGGGAGAGUGGCCAUGACUCUGUGCUACCUCAUGGCCCUGGCCCUUAGCAAGGGCCAUAAGGUGACAAAGAACCUGAGCAAGCCAAGACACAGCCAUCGAGGGUGCCUCACCAAGCACACCAAGUUCAUGCAUGCAGGAUGUGAUCAGGCAGCUUCACACCCUGUGAGAGGAGCAUCAUGGAGAUGCCCAAGGGUCUCCAUGUAGCCAUACCCAGCCAUGAAGACAGAGCCUGGCUAGCCUGGAGAUCACAGAGAGCCUGCCUUCGCCUCCAGACUGCUAAGAAUAGAGGCAUGCUCCACCACACCUGACAAACCUGACCAGGAGGGGGCAGCAUAGAGCUGCAUGAGGCCAAGCCAUGAGGCCCACCCUGGACACUGCUGCAGGUCACAAGGACCCACAUGAGGGGUGUUUUGCAGCUGACUGGAACCAUCUUCUCCCAGAAUAUACCUGCUCCUGUCAUAAAGAUGAGGACUUUGGACUGGGGAAAUAGUUCAGUGAUAAAGUGCCUGCCAUGCAAGCAUGGGGACCUGGGUUCAAAUCCCCAGAACCCAUGUAAAGCCAGGUAUGUGUGUGUCUAUAAUCCCAGUGCUCCUAUGGUGGGAUGGGAGGCAGAGACCAGGGAAUCCUCAGAAGUGUGCAGGCAAUCCAGCCUGGUGUAUACAGCAGUGCCCAACAAGAGACCCUGUCUCAAACAAGGUGGAAGGGGAGGACACCUGUCCUCUGAUC